RNAcentral lists this ribosomal RNA (466 nucleotides) under uncultured bacterium. Its description in RNAcentral is "partial 16S ribosomal RNA". It matches the Rfam family "Bacterial small subunit ribosomal RNA", at positions 28 to 507 of the family's 1533-position model. The record is from RNAcentral.
GAUGAACGCUGGCGGCGUGCUUAACACAUGCAAGUCGAACGAUGAAGCCCAGCUUGCUGGGUGGAUUAGUGGCGAACGGGUGAGUAACACGUGAGUAACCUGCCCUUGACUCUGGGAUAAGCCUGGGAAACUGGGUCUAAUACUGGAUAUGACUUCUCAUCGCAUGGUGGGGGGUGGAAAGAUUUAUUGGUCUUGGAUGGACUCGCGGCCUAUCAGCUUGUUGGUGAGGUAAUGGCUCACCAAGGCGACGACGGGUAGCCGGCCUGAGAGGGUGACCGGCCACACUGGGACUGAGACACGGCCCAGACUCCUACGGGAGGCAGCAGUGGGGAAUAGUGCACAAUGGGCGCAAGCCUGAUGCAGCGACGCCGCGUGAGGGAUGACGGCCUUCGGGUUGUAAACCUCUUUCAGUAGGGAAGAAGCGAGAGUGACGGUACCUGCAGAAGAAGCUCCGGCUAACUACGUG